Molecule: long non-coding RNA, 4534 nt
Organism: Cervus elaphus (red deer)
Lineage: Eukaryota; Metazoa; Chordata; Mammalia; Artiodactyla; Cervidae
Exons: 4
Source: RefSeq, a predicted model, not a curated record
CAAAAUAAGAUGGAAAUAUACUAAGCAUCUGUAACAUUUCAGGUGUAACUGGAAUUUUAGGAAAGAUAUGUACACCCCGACAUGCGUACACACGCAAAUACAUACACAAACGUAACAGCAUGGGUAGAUUAUGAACCCAAGUUCGGGUGCUCACCUGUCAGGCGCUCCAUGACCUUGGGCAUCCCAUCACUGACUCAACAGGGUGGACCCUCACACAUAGUCCUGCGCCCUCAUAAAAUAUGAUCUCUGCAGUCGCCUCUUCAGAAUUCUCCGGUGCGGUGCCACGCCACGGGGGUCGCCUCCUCCUAACCCUGGGAACCACUCAGCUUAGCCUCGGCCUCAGGUCGGACCGAGAUCCGCGGGCAGAGAUAAGCGGUGCGCACGCGCAGUCCGGCGGUCUCAGAAUUCUCCCGGCGGGCUGGGAGCGGCGGCUUAGCUUUGGGACAUCCUAGGCCAGACCGUAGCUCCCACAGUCGACGAGGUGUCUUCAACCUCAGGUAUUUUUUUCCGUGUCCCUUGUUGCGCGCUGCGCGCGAGUGGCACCCUUCCAAGGAAGAAUCCGGCAUGGGUCGCCGCAGAAAUGACUGUGCACAGGUAGCCCGAGCCCGAGGAAGACGGUGAGUGAAGGUUUGCUGUUUCAGACAUCAACAUUCAGGGAUGUGGCCAUACACUUCUCCCAGCAGGAGUGGGAAUGUCUCAACCCUGUUCAGAAGAACUUGUACCAGGAUGUGAUGAUGGAGAACUAUGAUAACUUGGUCUCACUGGGACAUUCCAUUUCUAAGCCAGAUGUAAUUUCAUUAUUGGAGCAAGGAAAAGAGCCAUGGAUGGUUGUGGGAGAAGAAACAAGAAGAUGAUGUACAGAUUUGAAUUCAAGAUAUGAAAUCAUGAGCUAUGAAAAUGUACAUAUUUAUUAAAAACCUUCAUCUCUUACUGUGCAUCAGAAAAUUCAUACUGGUGAGAAGCCCUAUGAAUGUGACAAAUGUGGUAAGGCCUGUAGUUGACACACAGACCUUAUAAUACAUCAGAGAAUUCAUACUGGUGAGAAACCCUAUGAAUGUAAGCAGUGUGGAAAGGCCUUUAGUUGUUCAUCCAACUUUCUGCAACAUCAGCUAAUUCAUAGUGGUGAAAAACCCUAUGAACGCCAUGAAUGUGGGAUGACCUUUAGUCUUAGUAUAGGUCUUAGGGAGCAUCAUAGAAUUCAUACUGGGGAGAAACCCUACAAAUGUAAGGAAUGUGGAAAGGCCUUUAGUCAGGCCUCACAUCUUGUUCAACAUGAGCGAAUUCAUUCUGGGGAGAAGCCCUAUGAGUGUAAGGAAUGUGGGAUGACAUUUAGUCAUGGCUAUCAACUCAUUCCACUUCAGCAAAUGCAUAUCAGUAUAAAACGCUAUGAAUGUCAUGAAUGUGGGCAGGCCUUUAGUCAUGCUUCAGCACUUAUUCAAUGUGAGAGAAUUCAUACUGGUGAGAAACCCUGUAAAUGUGAAGAAUGUGGGAAGGCCUUUAUUAAUGGUGGAAGGCUAAGAAUGCAUCACAUAAUUCAUACUGGUGAGAAACCCUAUGAACGUAAAGAAUGUGGGAAGGCCUUUAAUCACCCCUCAAACCUUGUUAGGCAUAAGAGAAUUCAUACUUUAGAGAAACCACAUCAGUGUGAAAAAUGUUGAAAGGCCUUUAGUCAUGUUGAAAGCCUUAGAAUGCAUCACAGAUGUUCUCAUCACACUGGUGAGAACCCCAUCAAUGUAAAGAGUGUGAGUAGUGGACAUCAACUAAUUAUACAAAGUAGAUUUCAUACUGGAGAGAAACCCUAUGAAUGUAAAGCAUGUGGGAAGCCUUUAGUGUGUAUGAAUGACUUACUCGACCUCAGUGAAUACUUUCACAGUGGUGAGAGACCUUUAGAAUGUAACAAAUGUGGAAAAUCCUUUAGGCUUAGUUCAGGCCUUAAAGUGUAUCAAAAAAUUCAUACUGGAGAGAAAUGUUACGAAUGUAAGGACUGUGGAAAAGCAUAUAUAUGCAGUAGAGAAUGUAUAGUAAGUCACUGUAUUUAUAACACUGAGAAAAAUUUUGAAUGAAAAGAACAUGGGAAAGCUUUUAGAUACGGUUCAGUUCUUAAGGCAUUAAAUAAUUUAUACUGGUGAGAAGCCCUCAGAAUGUAAAUAAUGUUUCAGAUAUUUUAGUUAUGACCCAAAUGUUCAAAUUCAGAAAUUUACAGUUUAUGUUUUUGUAACUCAGAAGGCCUUUACUAGCAUCUCUCUAUUUAUGGAUUACCAGAAUAUUUAUAAUGGAGAAAAAUUCAGAGAAUGUAGAAAUGCCCUUGUUUUGUAUGCUCUGUUUAUAAAAGCUCUAUAGCCCUAGUCAGUUCUUGUUACAUUGGAAAAAAACUAAUGCCAAAGAAAAUCCUUGUUGACUUAACAAAUCUGAAAAAAAACCAUCCUGAUUGCCAUUUGAUUUUUAGAGCCUGCGUGCAAGAUAUCUAUCCCUGUGGGAGUCUUUUGUAAGUGAUCAUAAUAGUACCUACAUUAUAGUGCUGUUAUUGAAGUAUAAGAAACAUGGAAAGCUAUCUCAAACAUAGUAUUUAUUCAGUAAGGGUGUGGUGUGUGUGUGUGUGUUUAGUUGCUAAGUCGUGUCUGACUCUUGCGACCUCAUGAACUAUAGCCCACCAGGCUUCUCUGUCCAUGGGAUUUCCCAAGUAAGAAUACUGGAGCAGGUUGCCUUUUCCUUCUCCAGGGGAUCUUCUCUACCCAGGGAUCAAGUAUCUUGCAUUGGCAGGCAGGUUGUUUACCCCUGAGCAGUCUGGAAACUUUAUAGGAAGCAGUCAAUACAACUAAAAUUAUUACAAAAUGAUACUCAAAAGUUUGGGUUUUUUCUGUGAAAAGUAAUGAAUACAUCUGAAAAUAUAGUUUAAUAAUUUAGAAAUGUAACAGUAAUCUUGAAACGGUUUUUUAACUUAAAAAUUUUUCUAUUAAAAAUGUUAACAUCAAAUAAACGUUGGUGAAUCUGGUCAAGAAAAAUUAUAAAUGUUACAUUAUAGCAUUGUUAGUAAGAAAGGGGAUUUAGCCAUAAAUAUGGAAGAAGAAAAAAUCAAAGGAAAACAACUCUUUUUUAAAAGGCAGCACUAUGGCACAUAGUCAGGUAAGACUUAAAGAAGGAAAUGAUUUCUAACAGUCUUUCUAGCUCAUUACUGUAUGGAUUACAUAAUUAUAACAAGUCUAUUAGAAUAAUAGGCCCUAAAAGUCAAAAGCUAAAUGAAGUUUCCUUAUGAAAUUGAGCAUAGAAAAUCCAAAUAUAUUACCCGCCAACUAAAACAGAAUCUACCAAAAGAAUUAUGUAAUUAAAAAUCAUUUAUCUAGAAUAUUCAAAACUUAACUAUUCUUGUUUGACUUUAAAUCUUGAAUGAUUUAAUCCAAUAUGAAGCAAUUGAUCUAACACUUUUUAUUUAUUUAUAAUUAGAGGAUAAUUCCUUUGCAGUGUUGUGGUUCUGCUAUACAACAAAGUGAAUCCGCUAUGUGUAUACGUGUAUCCCCUCCCUCUUGGACCUCUCUUUCACCCCGCACCGUCACACCUGUCUAGGUCAUCACGGAUUACUGAGCUGAGUUUCCCUGUGCUGUACUGCAGAUUUCCACUAAGCUAUCUGUUUUACACAUGGUAGGGUGUUUAUGUCUCCAGUCUGGUACUUGCUAAUGUUAGAGGUUAGCAAAUGAUUGCCCUGUGAGCCAGCCACCUGUUUUCUAAGGUUUUAUUGGAACACAGCCAUAUUCAUUCACUUACAUAUUAUCUAAAGCUGUAACAGAAAAUGUAUGCCCCGUAAGCCUAAAAUAUUUACUCUUGACCUUUAAGAACAAGUUUCCUGAUCUGUGAUCUCGAUUCAUUUGUUUUUCUAAUAUUAAUACUAAAAGGAACCUCUCUCCCACCCCCUCAACACACCUACCUGACCAUUUUUAAAAUCAGGAUACCUACUUUCAAACACUUCCAACCAGAUAAAUGUCAGAAAUUAGUCAUUUGAAAUACCUUCCACUUUUUUUUUCUGGCAGUGUCAAAGAAGUGCCAGCAGCAAAUCAUAUUGGUUUUGAUAAAAUAUUGUGUAUUUUUGCAUAGUUGGUAUUCAGUCACAUAGAAGAAUUGUUAUUUGUCAGAUAAGAAUGAUUCAUGGAAAUUACAAAUUAUGCAUUGUCAGCCCACCAUCUGUGAUGUCAGUGUGAUUGUCCCUUAUAACCUGUACUUCUCUAACCACUUGUUGCAGUUGGGGAAUCCACUAUCCUAUUCACCAUCUGAUGGUUAACAUCAUUGUCGCAUACAUGCUUUGUUGUUGUUUAGUCACUCCAUAGUUUGACUCUUUGCGACCUCAUGGACUGCAGCACGCCAGACUUCCCUGUUCUUCACCAUCUCCAUGCUUAGGUUUUAGAAUUAAAUAUAAUACAGGACAGAAUAAUUUGAGUUCUGUAAUAAAAUAAGCCUGCAAUAGGUCAGCAUGGUACUUCUCCAAGUUACUAUAUACAUAGUAUAUAAUACAUGUAUUGCUGUUAAGUCAUUCAGUCGAGUCCAA